Molecule: long non-coding RNA, 1107 nt
Filed under: Mytilus galloprovincialis (Mediterranean mussel)
Lineage: Eukaryota; Metazoa; Mollusca; Bivalvia; Mytilida; Mytilidae
Source: RNAcentral
GUUGUAGAAUAUAAUUUGCAAAUGCAGGCAUAAAGGAAUUAUAUUAAAACAAGGAUUAAACUAUAUGACACCGACAACUUUGUUGCAGGGCCAUAAAAAAAAAUAUUUAUUUAUUGCAGUUUACUCCUAGCUUGCAUGGCUAAAAUGAAAGUUAUAUAUUGUUAAAAAAAUAUGAUAUAGAGUUCCAAUGAAGAAAAAAAAUGCAUUUGACAUGAAGUUAAUAAAAUGUAUAUAAUACUGAUAACUCCCUCCAUAAAUCAAAAUGUCUACUCCAGAGAACGAUGUACCAACACUCAGUUGCCAUUUUUUUUGUUACAUCAAUAACAAAACUUGCAUUGUUCAGAAAUCACACUGAGAUCAUAUAAUAGUUAGAACUACUUUUUACCACCAGAAAAUCUAAUAUAUAUUGUCUUUAUCAAUCUUUGAACACAAAGAUGUGAUGGGUAUAAAGUUUACAACUGAACUUUUAAACAAUAUCAUAUAUUAUUUUUACUUUCAUUACUUCAUCUAGAAGGCUCAGGCAUUCAUUAUAAUUGGUUUGUCAAACAAUAUACAAUGUAUCUCAACUACACAGUAGCAUGCACAUCAAUAUCCUUCUUUUAGGAUUCUCCAAUCAAUUAGAUUUGCAUUUACACUUAUUGAAUUAUUUCAGAUUUCAAACAGAAUAAACAGUUAAUAGUCAUUCUUGACAUUCAGGCUAAAUAAUCAUCUUAGAUGUUAAUACAAGAUUUGCAGGUUUAAUGCCCUGUACAUAAACCAGUAUGGUUGUCGAAAUCAUUAGUCACUGAAUUCAUAAUUUCUUGCAAAAUGUAUUUUCUUGUUUCCAAGAUGGUUGUUAUAAAUGCUUAUAUUUUAAGAAUAAUCAUCACUAUAUAUAACAACACAUUGUUUUGAGCAAAUUCCAAUCUGUAUUUCAGUCUUGGUGAUAAUGUUAUCAUUCCAGAUAACUCCUAGUUUCAAGUCUGCCACAUCAAAACAUCACACAUCUGUACUUGUAUGUAUAAUUAUUCCCAAAAAAUAAAGUUAUGUGUUCUGAUUCCCAUUAAAAAGGUUUUUUUUACCAAGGAAAUGUGACAACAUACUUUUAAAAUCUGACAAAUACAAAUG